AAAGGCUGGCCACUAGAGUCUCCCUCCCGAGGAGGGGUUCGCGUCUGAUUAGCUAGUUAGUGAGGCAAUAGCUUACUGAGGCGAUGAUCAGUAGCUGGUCUGAGAGGAUGAUCAGCCACACUGGGAUUGAGACACGCCCCAAGAUGACGAAAU
This 153-nucleotide non-coding RNA is filed under the name Morus notabilis. Its description in RNAcentral is "Bacterial small subunit ribosomal RNA". It matches the Rfam family "Bacterial small subunit ribosomal RNA", at positions 202 to 347 of the family's 1533-position model. Lineage: Eukaryota; Viridiplantae; Streptophyta; Magnoliopsida; Rosales; Moraceae. The record is from Rfam by way of RNAcentral.